This 745-nucleotide ribosomal RNA is filed under the name uncultured bacterium. RNAcentral's name for it is "bacterial SSU rRNA". It matches the Rfam family "Bacterial small subunit ribosomal RNA", at positions 33 to 773 of the family's 1533-position model. The record is from RNAcentral.
ACGCUGGCGGCAUGCCUUACACAUGCAAGUCGAACGGCAGCACGGAGCUUGCUCUGGUGGCGAGUGGCGAACGGGUGAGUAAUAUAUCGGAACGUACCCUAGAGUGGGGGAUAACGUAGCGAAAGUUACGCUAAUACCGCAUACGAUCUAAGGAUGAAAGUGGGGGAUCGCAAGACCUCAUGCUCGUGGAGCGGCCGAUAUCUGAUUAGCUAGUUGGUAGGGUAAAAGCCUACCAAGGCAUCGAUCAGUAGCUGGUCUGAGAGGACGACCAGCCACACUGGAACUGAGACACGGUCCAGACUCCUACGGGAGGCAGCAGUGGGGAAUUUUGGACAAUGGGCGAAAGCCUGAUCCAGCAAUGCCGCGUGAGUGAAGAAGGCCUUCGGGUUGUAAAGCUCUUUUGUCAGGGAAGAAACGGUGAAAGCUAAUAUCUUUUGCUAAUGACGGUACCUGAAGAAUAAGCACCGGCUAACUACGUGCCAGCAGCCGCGGUAAUACGUAGGGUGCAAGCGUUAAUCGGAAUUACUGGGCGUAAAGCGUGCGCAGGCGGUUUUGUAAGUCUGAUGUGAAAUCCCCGGGCUCAACCUGGGAAUUGCAUUGGAGACUGCAAGGCUAGAAUCUGGCAGAGGGGGGUAGAAUUCCACGUGUAGCAGUGAAAUGCGUAGAUAUGUGGAGGAACACCGAUGGCGAAGGCAGCCCCCUGGGUCAAGAUUGACGCUCACGCACGAAAGCGUGGGGAGCAAAC